Molecule: transfer RNA, 88 nt
Filed under: Lentisphaeria bacterium
Lineage: Bacteria; Pseudomonadati; Lentisphaerota; Lentisphaeria
Description: tRNA-Leu
Rfam family: tRNA
About the family: Transfer RNA (tRNA) molecules are approximately 80 nucleotides in length. Their secondary structure includes four short double-helical elements and three loops (D, anti-codon, and T loops).
Source: RNAcentral
GCCGACGUGGCGGAAUUGGCAGACGCGCUAGGUUCAGGUCCUAGUUCCCCUUAAAGGAGUGGGGGUUCAAGUCCCCCCGUCGGCACCA